GGCCCGCCCCGGCCCGCAGGACACCCCCUCGGAACGCGCGGCCCCCCGGCUAAGUCAUGUUUAACAGCCUCAGAAAUUAUCUUGUCUCCGCGUUCUUUCUUCUGCCGGCGAGCCAGUGUCAUUUGUGGAUUCUUAAAGAAACCUCUCCAUACCUGAUGCAUAAAGUAUAACAUCAAAUAGUAAGGGGUUGACAAUAGGAAUGAUGUCUUUCAAAGAAGCUGUUUCUUGGAGAAAUCUCUGAAUCUGGGCUUAGGGUCAGCACUCAGGGAGAACCAAUCAACAACAACAGCAGGAUGGACUGAAGAGUCUCUUGAGGCAUGGUAAGAAAGCUGUAUUGCAGGAGGUUUUGUCCAUUCACCUAUUCAUUCAGUAAGCACUCACAGUUCACUUCUAAUAUUUCAGGCACAAAGUCAGCUUUUAUGGAACCUGCAAUGCACAAAGAAACAAGCAAUAAACAAGGAAAUGUCAGAAAGUAAUGACUGCUAUGCAGUCUUAAAAGAGUGAUGAGUUUCAGUAAAAGCAAUUUCCGAGUACAUCUUGAAGCUGUCAUAAGAGAAUGCUUUCUGGUAUAAAGUUUGCAACGUAUCCAUAGGCUUUCUUUCAGAAAUUUCUAGUUCUUGAGCCUCUGUUACAAUAUUUUGGUAAGUGAUUGGUUUUCCAUGGUACUUUCCGUUUCAUGGGGAUUUCAGAAAAACUGUUGCCCUCAACCCUUUCCCCACAGACCUCUGCACAUGCAUCUUUUCAAGGCAGGCACUUUAGAAUAAUACAGAUAACUAGAUAUGGAUGUGUAUAUGUGUUUAUUUUCAGCAUAAAUUUGCUUAAAGUGAUGUUUUCCAAAAUAUUUUGUCUUCCAAAAGAAAAGACUAAUUUUCUGAAAUAGUCUAUCAGUGUCUCUAGGGCAUCGUUCAGUUGGGUGGCACUAGAGUUUUGGUAUAUUUUAAACAUAUUUUCUUAUUGUUGUAUUUCCUAUAUGUGGCGAGAUACUAUUUUAAAACCCAGAGAGGCCUUGGAGACACAGUAAAGGAGGCCAGUUUGGGGUAAUGGCUCGACACCAGCUGGGACCAUGGAAAAACUAGUCUAAGCCUGGGUCCUUUUGGUGUAAAUGCGUGGGCACUUGAGGCCUUCUAAUAUGAAGCCCAAUAGCCUUCUGUUCUGGGAAAUUGUUCCCUGUUUGUUUGGUGGUGUUUAAUGACUUCCUUCCUUCCAUUUUCUCUGCACUAUCUUUUUCAAAUACCCUUGUCAGAUUGGGCCUUCCUAACUCACUUCAACGACCCUCUCAUAAUAUUCCAGCCCAGAUUUCCUUUUCUUUUUUUGCAUAAAGCUCAUAUCCUCCAUAAUGUUUAGAAUUUCUUUUUCUUUCUUUCUUUUUUUUUGAGAUGGAGUCUCACUCUGU
This is a non-coding RNA of Macaca mulatta (Rhesus monkey), 1393 nucleotides long. The record is from RefSeq and is a predicted model, not a curated record. NCBI's taxonomy places the organism in Eukaryota, Metazoa, Chordata, Mammalia, Primates, Cercopithecidae.